GGUUAAGUGACUAAGCGUACACGGUGGAUGCCUAGGCAGUCAGAGGCGAUGAAGGGCGUGCUAAUCUGCGAAAAGUGUCGGUAAGGUGAUAUGAACCGUUAUAACCGGCAAUACCCGAAUGGGGAAACCCAGUGUGUUUCGACACACUAUCGUAUGGUGAAUACAUAGCCAUACGAGGCGAACCGGGGGAACUGAAACAUCUAAGUACCCCGAGGAAAAGAAAUCAACCGAGAUUCCCCUAGUAGCGGCGAGCGAACGGGGAACAGCCCAGAACCUGAAUCAGUUCUUGUGUUAGUGGAAGCGUCUGGAAAGUCGCGCAGCAAAGGGUGAUAGCCCCGUACACUAAAAUGCAUUAAUUGUGAGUUCGAUGAGUAGGGCGGGACACGUGACAUCCUGUCUGAAUAUGGGGGGACCAUCCUCCAAGGCUAAAUACUCCUGACUGACCGAUAGUGAACCAGUACCGUGAGGGAAAGGCGAAAAGAACCCCGGCGAGGGGAGUGAAAUAGAACCUGAAACCGUGUACGUACAAGCAGUGGGAGCACCUUCGUGGUGUGACUGCGUACCUUUUGUAUAAUGGGUCAGCGACUUAUAUUUUGUAGCAAGGUUAACCGUAUAGGGGAGCCGUAGGGAAACCGAGUCUUAACUGGGCGAAUAGUUGCAAGGUAUAGACCCGAAACCCGGUGAUCUAGCCAUGGGCAGGUUGAAGGUUGGGUAACACUAACUGGAGGACCGAACCGACUAAUGUUGAAAAAUUAGCGGAUGACUUGUGGCUGGGGGUGAAAGGCCAAUCAAACCGGGAGAUAGCUGGUUCUCCCCGAAAGCUAUUUAGGUAGCGCCUCGUGAACUCAUCUUCGGGGGUAGAGCACUGUUUCGGCUAGGGGGCCAUCCCGGCUUACCAAACCGAUGCAAACUCCGAAUACCGAAGAAUGUUAUCACGGGAGACACACGGCGGGUGCUAACGUCCGUCGUGAAGAGGGAAACAACCCAGACCGCCAGCUAAGGUCCCAAAGUCAUGGUUAAGUGGGAAACGAUGUGGGAAGGCAUAGACAGCCAGGAUGUUGGCUUAGAAGCAGCCAUCAUUUAAAGAAAGCGUAAUAGCUCACUGGUCGAGUCGGCCUGCGCGGAAGAUGUAACGGGGCUAAACCAUGCACCGAAGCUGCGGCAGCGACGCUUAGGCGUUGUUGGGUAGGGGAGCGUUCUGUAAGCCGUUGAAGGUGAACUGUGAGGUUUGCUGGAGGUAUCAGAAGUGCGAAUGCUGACAUAAGUAACGAUAAAGCGGGUGAAAAACCCGCUCGCCGGAAGACCAAGGGUUCCUGUCCAACGUUAAUCGGGGCAGGGUGAGUCGACCCCUAAGGCGAGGCCGAAAGGCGUAGUCGAUGGGAAACAGGUUAAUAUUCCUGUACUCGGUGUUACUGCGAAGGGGGGACGGAGAAGGCUAGGCUAGCCGGGCGACGGUUGUCCCGGUUUAAGCGUGUAGGGGGGUGUUCCUGGUAAAUCCGGAACGCUAUCAACCCUGAGGCGUGAUGACGAUGCAC
RNAcentral lists this ribosomal RNA (1535 nucleotides) under Serratia fonticola. Its description in RNAcentral is "partial 23S ribosomal RNA". It matches the Rfam family "Bacterial large subunit ribosomal RNA", at positions 1 to 1577 of the family's 2925-position model. The record is from RNAcentral. Lineage: Bacteria; Pseudomonadati; Pseudomonadota; Gammaproteobacteria; Enterobacterales; Yersiniaceae.